RNAcentral lists this long non-coding RNA (236 nucleotides) under Hordeum vulgare. RNAcentral describes it as "long non-coding RNA (HVUL_LNC017116)". Lineage: Eukaryota; Viridiplantae; Streptophyta; Magnoliopsida; Poales; Poaceae. The record is from RNAcentral.
AAGGAUUUCUCCCGGAGUUGCGCUGAACAUCCACCGCCACCGACCCGCUGAGCAUGGCCGCCACGCACCACCACGACCCCCAGGCAGGGUCACGGGUCACCGCACCGCGCGCCCUGGCCACCGCAGUCGCGCCUAGCCGACGCUCUCUGCCACCGCAGCCGCGCCCGGCCGCCGCUCCCUACCACCAUGGUCGCGCGCCCCGCACAAGAUCCGGCCAUGGCAGCCCCGGAUCCGCC